This 253-nucleotide ribosomal RNA is filed under the name uncultured bacterium. RNAcentral's name for it is "partial 16S ribosomal RNA". It matches the Rfam family "Bacterial small subunit ribosomal RNA", at positions 524 to 776 of the family's 1533-position model. The record is from RNAcentral.
GAUGGGGGAUGCAAGCGUUAUCCGGAAUCACUGGGCGUAAAGCGUCUGUAGGUGGUGAUGCAAGUCACUGGUGCAAAACUCUGGCUCAACCGGAGGAAAGCCAGUGAAACUGCAUGCCUAGAGUGUGGGAGAGGUAGAAGGAAUUCCCUGAGUAGCGGUGAAAUGCGUAGAUACAGGGAAGAACACCGGAGGCGAAAGAGUUCUACUGGAACACAAAUAACACUGAGAGACGAAAGCUAGGGGAGCGAAUGGG